This 1441-nucleotide ribosomal RNA is filed under the name oral metagenome. RNAcentral describes it as "bacterial SSU rRNA". It matches the Rfam family "Bacterial small subunit ribosomal RNA". The record is from RNAcentral.
AGAGUUUGAUCCUGGCUCAGGACGAACGCUGGCGGCGUGCUUAACACAUGCAAGUCAACGAGAAUUGAACUGCUUGCAGUUCAAGGGCAGUGGCGAACGGGUGAGUAACGCGUAGAUAACCUACCUUUUAGAUUGGGAUAAUCCAUGGAAACGUGGACUAAUACCGAAUGUAGUCUUAAGGUCGCAUGAUUUUGAGAUAAAAGAUCUUGAAUCGCUAAAAGAUGGGUCUGCGUGACAUUAGCUAGUUGGAGAGGUAACGGCUCCCCAAGGCAUCGAUGUCUAGCUGGUCUGAGAGGAUGAUCAGCCACACUGGGACUGAGAUACGGCCCAGACUCCUACGGGAGGCAGCAGUGAGGAAUAUUGCACAAUGGGGGCAACCCUGAUUUAUUGACGGUAGCGAUAGAGGAAGCUCCGGCUAACUCCGUGCCAGCAGCCGCGGUAAUACGGAGGGAGCGAGCGUUGUCCGGAUUUAUUGGGCGUAAAGGGCAUGUAGGUGGUACAGCCAGUCAGUUGUUAAAUAUUACGGCUUAACCGUAUUCUGCAAUUGAUACUUCUGUUCUUGAGUUUGUGAGGGGAUGAUGGAAUGCCUAGUGUAGCGGUGGAAUGCGUAGAUAUUAGGUAGAACACCAGUGGAGAAGUCGAUCAUCUGGCACAAUACUGACACUGAUAUGCGAAAGCGUGGGUAGCAAACAGGAUUAGAUACCCUGGUAGUCCACGCCGUAAACGAUGGGCACUAGGUGUCCGGGGACUAGUCCCCCGGGUGCCGCAGCUAACGCGUUAAGUGCCCCGCCUGGGGAGUACGCCGGCAACGGUGAAACUCAAAGGAAUUGACGGGGGCCCGCACAAGCGGUGGAGCAUGUGGUUUAAUUCGAUGCAACGCGAAGAACCUUACCUGGGCUUGAACCGCAGAUGACGUUAUUAGAGAUAAUAAUUUUCUAGCAAUAGAACAUCUGUAGAGGUGCUGCAUGGCUGUCGUCAGCUCGUGUCGUGAGAUGUUGGGUUAAGUCCCGCAACGAGCGCAACCCUUAUCAUUAGUUGCCAUCGAGUAAUGUCGGGGACUCUAAUGAGACUGCCUACGUUAAGUAGGAGGAAGGUGGGGAUGACGUCAAGUCCUCAUGGCCUUUAUGUCCAGGGCUACACACGUGCUACAAUGGGCGGUACAGAGCGACGCUACACCGCGAGGUGAUGCAAAUCGCAAAAACCGUUCUCAGUUCGGAUCGCAGUCUGCAACUCGACUGCGUGAAGUCGGAAUCGCUAGUAAUCGCGGAUCAGCAUGCCGCGGUGAAUACGUUCCCGGGCCUUGUACACACCGCCCGUCACACCACGGAAGUUGAUAGUGCCCGAAGUAGCUGGUCUAACCCUUGUGGAGGAAUGCUACGAAGGCAAGAUUGAUAACUGGGGUGAAGUCGUAACAAGGUAGCCGUACCGGAAGGUGCGGCUG